Ailuropoda melanoleuca (giant panda) is the source of this 933-nucleotide long non-coding RNA. RefSeq lists it as uncharacterized. The record is from RefSeq and is a predicted model, not a curated record. Lineage: Eukaryota; Metazoa; Chordata; Mammalia; Carnivora; Ursidae. The transcript is spliced from 5 exons.
AAAUGCCGGAGGCGGAAAAUUUUGAGAGAAGUCUGUAGUGCGUUCAGAGACCAGAGGACAUUGUUCCAUAUGUAGCUGUAGAUGUGUUCCUGGAAGGAGGUAGGUUCAGGAUUUUCCUACAUCGCCAUCUCGGACCUGAACCCAUGUCUGCUCCUUAAUCUGCUUCUUAACAUUCCCUGGAUAUGGUGACACAGGAUCAGUUCUCCCCAGUUCAUCAGUCAAAUGGUCAUUCUACUUCUUAUUUAAUAGAAAGGGUUUCAGAUAGGUAAUACCAUGAAUACAGUUAUAUUACCUUCCAAGAGUGCUGAGAAAUGUUCAACUGUCUACUGGAGCAAGAAUGAAGACUUGAAAAAUUAUAAAGAGAUGCAGAAAGCCACGGCAAGAAAAGUCAAAUGACCUUGAUUCUACUGUUGGUGCUGAGUGGAAAGCCCACACUCCAGAAGCUCAUUAAAAGGGCCAAGUUACAGUACAGGUUUAUUUCUGUCACAGCGUUUCUGAAAACAGUGACAAGGAUUAAUAUGUUUCUUUAGUACUGGAAAAAGCCUGACACAAUCCCUUGUGAAUUUGAUCAUCUGUUUCAUUGCCUGUAUAAGAUUCAAUCUCUUAUUAUAUCCUGAAGUUACAGCUGUAAACUAAUGCUGGUAAGAAUUCAUAAGCUAUUGCAGAAGCCUGGGGCAAAACGAAUUGUUUUCUUCAACAGUCGCUUAUUUAUUUAUUAUUUAUUUCAUACCUCUCUCGAUCAUCUUUUUCCACUGUUCCUCCUCAAAGUCAAGAUUAUCUUGGCUCUUUGUCUGAAUGCACAGAGCAAAUAUAGAGACAUGGGGAAUUCAUGCUUCCAAGAGCUUUCAAAAAGUUGUUACAGAUCAGUGUAUUGUGGAAAUGUCCACUCUAAAAUUUUUAUAAAACUAUUCUUACUUCCCUUUCCUUGAAAUG